Non-coding RNA from Podarcis lilfordi (Lilford's wall lizard), 2120 nucleotides. The record is from the annotation of a GenBank genome assembly. Lineage: Eukaryota; Metazoa; Chordata; Lepidosauria; Squamata; Lacertidae.
AGGCAGUGGACCCAAGCAGUUGGCUCUUGUUCAGCCCAGAAUGGAAGUAUUAGAAAUAAGCCUUUUUUAAAAAAAAAUGGUCUCAUUUAAUUUUGAAAACUUUUAAAUUGAAAAGUGGGUUACAUAGCAUUAGAAUUUGAAGUGUCUUCCCCCUCCAAAGCUGGCCUCCUUCUCCCCAACAGCCACAGUGUCCAAAGUUUUGCCUUCCUUCAACUGGACCUCGUAAAUCUCUUUCUGCAAAACGUACAAUCUUCCUCAAAGAAAAAACUCUAUUAGAGAGUAACAAAGAGCAGAGACUGUGUAUAAUCUUCUUCUGUAUUUCAUUCAGAAAUUAAAGAAAAAAGUGAGACAUUUAAUGGUUUGAGGCAGAUUCAAUUUAGAUUUCCUACCAUGAUUGAAAAAGUAAGUUAGAAAAAAAGCAAAAAAGAAAAACAGUAAUAGGAGUCAAAUUAAUUAUCUCUUGAAAUGACAUUUUAAAAAUACACUUCUGCUAUUUGUUCCUGACUACAGGAGCAGUUUAUUAUAGUCUAUGAGGGAGCAUUAGAGAGUAACAGUCUAUUUGAGAGUAUUAGAGAGUAUUAAAGCAUACAGACUAUAAUUUAGCUUUCUCAUCCAUAAUUUAUUUAUUUUUUUAAAUGAGACUUGUAAAGAUUUGGGGUAGGUUCAGAUUAGAUUAUCUACCACGAUUGGGAAAGUAAGAUGUUUUGAUGGUGAUUAUGAUCGUCUCUUGAAAUAACAUUUUAAAAAUAUGCUUGUGCUAUUUGUCCCUGACUGAAGUAAUAUUGUCUCCCAGGUGACAACAAAACACUGAUCACAGAUGUUUUACGGGCAAAGGUGGCGAGGCGUAUCCAUGCAAAAGUUCUUUCCUACAAGAACCGAGUGGAGCUGCUUUGAUUUCAGCACACAAUCUGAUUUUCCGGGCCUGUUGUUUCCCCCCAGGAGCUGUGGCCUGGUUUUCUUUCCUUUUUACACUUCGUUUCUUGACCCACAAAGCCUCUAGUGGUCAGUAACGUCACUGAAAGCUGUUUCCCCCCUCCAUUCUGCAGUCCUUCAUCAACCUCACUUUACCUCAAGUAACCAAAGUAACUGGGUCGAGAAAAACUUUCCACAGAACACUGCAGGCUGUUUUGCUGCUGGGUUUAUUAACGGCUGGGCCCGAUACAACAUUUGGGGGUUUAUUAAAUUCAUUUAUUUCUUGAGGUAGAUGCACACCGGGACAAGAAGUCUUGUGGCACCAGUUCUGGGCAACCUGCGCUGGUUACCAGUUUGUUUCCAUGCCCAAACAACGUACGAAAUUGCCACACAUUGAGCAUAGAUACUAACUACCUGGGGCACCCACAAAAUUCCCCAUGAAGCGGCCGGGCACCCACAAAUUUCAAUGGCAGGGCCAUGCACACUGCAUAGCACCCACAGCCCCAGGCACCCACUGUUGCACAGCCAAGUUGGCACUCCUGACAUUGAGUGAGGCCAUUGGUCCAUCUCGCUCAGUAUUGACUACACCAGGCAUGUCCAAAAUCCAUUUCGGGGGCCUAAUCCAGCCUGCCGGUCAAUGUGAUCCAGCCCCUGUGGCAGUAUAUGUCCUAGGGUAAAAUUCUAAAAAAUGCUCAACAACUUCAAUCCUAAAAAAAGCACAUGCGUGUUCAAUUCAUCAAAUCUGGCCCUCUUUGAAAGAAGUUUGGGCACCCCUGGUACACUGACUGGCAGCAGCUGUCCAGGGUUUCAGAAAAGGAACAUUCCCAGCCCUAAUUGGAGAUGCCCGAGAAUUGAACCUAGAACUUUCCCCAUGCAAAGCAGGUGCUUUUCCACUGAGCCACAGAGCUGGUUUGGAAAGUUUAAGCAUUAUAUGGGUCGAGGCCACCUAAGGACCACUUUUCUCCAUAUGAACCUGCCCAGAACUGGUAGGUUUCCCAAACACAUUGCCUUCCCAAGUUCUGAAAAUUGAUGUCACAGAUGUGUUCCAUUAACCUUUUUGUAAAAAUAAUCUUAUCAAUCCAGGUCUCUCACCGUUAGUGGCAAAGGAAAUAAUCUGGUCAACAUGGUACAAAAACCAAAAGGGAAGAAGCAAGAAGAACCAUCAUCCGUUCUUCUUCAUAAAUGUACCCAAGACUGUUAUGAAAUCG